GAUGAACGCUGGCGGCGUGCCUAAUACAUGCAAGUCGAGCGGACGGACGAGAAGCUUGCUUCUCUGCUGUUAGCGGCGGACGGGUGAGUAACACGUGGAUACCCUGCAUAUAGGACUAGGAUAACUUCGGGAAACCGGAGCUAAUACCCGAUAAUAUUUUGAACCGCAGGGUUCAACAGAGAAAGCCGGUCUUGCUGUCACUUAUAGAUGGAUCCGCGCUGCAUUAGCUAGUUGGUAAGGUAACGGCUUACCAAGGCAACGAUGCAUAGCCGAUCUGAGAGGGUGAUCGGUCACACUGGAACUGAGACACGGUCCAGACUCCUACGGGAGGCAGCAGUAGGGAAUCUUCCGCAAUGGGCGAAAGCCUGACGGAGCAACGCCGCGUGAGUGAUGAAGGUCUUCGGAUCGUAAAACUCUGUUAUUAGGGAAGAACAUAUGUGUAAGUAACUGUGCACAUCUUGACGGUACCUAAACAGAAAGCAACGGCUAACUACGUG
This 497-nucleotide ribosomal RNA is filed under the name uncultured bacterium. RNAcentral's name for it is "partial 16S ribosomal RNA". It matches the Rfam family "Bacterial small subunit ribosomal RNA", at positions 28 to 507 of the family's 1533-position model. The record is from RNAcentral.